RNAcentral lists this transfer RNA (82 nucleotides) under Bacteroidia bacterium. Its description in RNAcentral is "tRNA-Leu". It matches the Rfam family "tRNA". From Rfam's summary of the family: Transfer RNA (tRNA) molecules are approximately 80 nucleotides in length. Their secondary structure includes four short double-helical elements and three loops (D, anti-codon, and T loops). Further hydrogen bonds mediate the characteristic L-shaped molecular structure. tRNAs have two regions of fundamental functional importance: the anti-codon, which is responsible for specific mRNA codon recognition, and the 3' end, to which the tRNAs corresponding amino acid is attached (by aminoacyl-tRNA synthetases). tRNAs cope with the degeneracy of the genetic code in two manners: having more than one tRNA (with a specific anti-codon) for a particular amino acid; and 'wobble' base-pairing, i.e. permitting non-standard base-pairing at the 3rd anti-codon position. RNAcentral also lists the same sequence under 1 other name. The record is from RNAcentral. Lineage: Bacteria; Pseudomonadati; Bacteroidota; Bacteroidia.
GCGGGCGUGGUGAAAUUGGUAGACACGCUAGACUUAGGAUCUAGUGCCGCGAGGUGUGAAGGUUCGAGUCCUUUCGCCCGCA